UAGAGUUUGAUCAUGGCUCAGAUUGAACGCUGGCGGCAUGCCUUACACAUGCAAGUCGAACGCGAAAGCGGGGCAACCUGCAAGUAGAGUGGCGAACGGGUGAGUAAUACAUCGGAACAUAUCCAGUAGCGGGGGAUAACCUGUCGAAAGAUAGGCUAAUACCGCAUACGAUCUACGGAUGAAAGCGGGGGACCGCAAGGCCUCGCACUAUUGGAGUGGCCGAUGUCGGAUUAGCUAGUUGGUGAGGUAAAGGCUUACCAAGGCGACGAUCCGUAGCUGGUCUGAGAGGACGAUCAGCCACACUGGAACUGAGACACGGUCCAGACUCCUACGGGAGGCAGCAGUGGGGAAUUUUGGACAAUGGGCGCAAGCCUGAUCCAGCCAUGCCGCGUGAGUGAAGAAGGCCUUCGGGUUGUAAAGCUCUUUCGGCGGGGACGAAACGGUUCGUGACAACACCACGGACUAAUGACGGUACUCGCAUAAGAAGCACCGGCUAACUACGUGCCAGCAGCCGCGGUAAUACGUAGGGUGCAGGCGUUAAUCGGAAUUACUGGGCGUAAAGCGUGCGCAGGCGGUUUGUUAAGACAGGUGUGAAAUCCUCGGGCUUAACCUGGGAAUUGCGCUUGUAACUGGCAGGCUAGAGUGUGGCAGAGGGGGGUGGAAUUCCACGUGUAGCAGUGAAAUGCGUAGAUAUGUGGAGGAACACCGAUGGCGAAGGCAGCUCUCUGGGUUAACACUGACGCUCAUGCACGAAAGCGUGGGGAGCAAACAGGAUUAGAUACCCUGGUAGUCCACGCCCUAAACGAUGUCAACUAGUUGUCGGGGAAGAAUUUCUUUGAUAACGAAGCUAACGCGUGAAGUUGAUCGUCUGGGGAGUACGGUCUGCAAGGUUAAAACUCAUAGGAAUUG
Molecule: ribosomal RNA, 909 nt
Filed under: uncultured bacterium
Lineage: Bacteria
Description: bacterial SSU rRNA
Rfam family: Bacterial small subunit ribosomal RNA
Source: RNAcentral